GCCGAGCUUGAUAACUCUAGCUUGUAACCCGAGUGGGGGCACCAAGGUGAUGGAACAUGGCUCGUUCUACGCUCGGUUGGUCUGGAAGAUGCAUUAUGCAGGCCUGCCCGCUCCAAGUUAGGAGUUGAGCAAUGGGACUUGGGCGAAGGCUUGGGUUUCCUUGUUCCUAAAGCGGAGCUCACAGCGUGAGGCUGGCUUCACAGAGCAGCGACCACCUUCCUCUCCUCACAGUGGAAGGAUAACAGGCUGCUGCUCUUCUAGUCCACCAUAACCGGGUGUGCCAAGCUCAUGAACCAUCAUUUUU
Molecule: non-coding RNA, 304 nt
Organism: Cajanus cajan (pigeon pea)
Lineage: Eukaryota; Viridiplantae; Streptophyta; Magnoliopsida; Fabales; Fabaceae
Source: Rfam